ACAAGCAGUGGGAGCACCCUUCGGGGUGUGACUGCGUACCUUUUGUAUAAUGGGUCAGCGACUUAUAUUCUGUAGCAAGGUUAACCGUAUAGGGGAGCCGGAGGGAAACCGAGUCUUAAUUGGGCGUUAAGUUGCAGGGUAUAGACCCGAAACCCGGUGAUCUAGCCAUGGGCAGGUUGAAGGUUGGGUAACACUAACUGGAGGACCGAACCGACUAAUGUUGAAAAAUUAGCGGAUGACCUGUGGCUGGGGGUGAAAGGCCAAUCAAACCGGGAGAUAGCUGGUUCUCCCCGAAAGCUAUUUAGGUAGCGCCUCGUGAAUUCAUCUCCGGGGGUAGAGCACUGUUUCGGCUAGGGGGCCAUCCCGGCUUACCAACCCGAUGCAAACUGCGAAUACCGGAGAAUGUUAUCACGGGAGACACACGGCGGGUGCUAACGUCCGUCGUGAAGAGGGAAACAACCCAGACCGCCAGCUAAGGUCCCAAAGUCAUGGUUAAGUGGGAAACGAUGUGGGAAGGCCCAGACAGCCAGGAUGUUGGCUUAGAAGCAGCCAUCAUUUAAAGAAAGCGUAAUAGCUCACUGGUCGAGUCGGCCUGCGCGGAAGAUGUAACGGGGCUAAACCAUGCACCGAAGCUGCGGCAGCGAACGUAUCACCCAAGACAACUUUACGGAGUUGACGAUUGACGGAGCGAAGCGACGUCAAAGCGUUCAUUAAAGUCGAGUUGGCUUAGGGAUACGUUCGUUGGGUAGGGGAGCGUUCUGUAAGCCUGUGAAGGUGUGUCGUGAGGCAUGCUGGAGGUAUCAGAAGUGCGAAUGCUGACAUAAGUAACGAUAAAGCGGGUGAAAAGCCCGCUCGCCGGAAGACCAAGGGUUCCUGUCCAACGUUAAUCGGGGCAGGGUGAGUCGACCCCUAAGGCGAGGCCGAAAGGCGUAGUCGAUGGGAAACGGGUUAAUAUUCCCGUACUUGGUGUUACUGCGAAGGGGGGACGGAGAAGGCUAUGUUGGCCGGGCGACGGUUGUCCCGGUUUAAGCGUGUAGGUGUGUGUUCCAGGUAAAUCCGGUUCACUUUAACACUGAGGCGUGACGACGAGGCACUACGGUGCUGAAGCAACAAAUGCCCUGCUUCCAGGAAAAGCCUCUAAGCAUCAGGUAACACGAAAUCGUACCCCAAACCGACACAGGUGGUCAGGUAGAGAAUACCAAGGCGCUUGAGAGAACUCGGGUGAAGGAACUAGGCAAAAUGGUGCCGUAACUUCGGGAGAAGGCACGCUGACACGUAGGUGAAGUGAUUUACUCAUGGAGCUGAAGUCAGUCGAAGAUACCAGCUGGCUGCAACUGUUUAUUAAAAACACAGCACUGUGCAAACACGAAAGUGGACGUAUACGGUGUGACGCCUGCCCGGUGCCGGAA
RNAcentral lists this ribosomal RNA (1409 nucleotides) under Salmonella enterica subsp. enterica serovar Typhimurium. RNAcentral's name for it is "partial 23S ribosomal RNA". It matches the Rfam family "Bacterial large subunit ribosomal RNA", at positions 566 to 1874 of the family's 2925-position model. The record is from RNAcentral. Lineage: Bacteria; Pseudomonadati; Pseudomonadota; Gammaproteobacteria; Enterobacterales; Enterobacteriaceae.